Molecule: ribosomal RNA, 497 nt
Filed under: uncultured bacterium
Lineage: Bacteria
Description: partial 16S ribosomal RNA
Rfam family: Bacterial small subunit ribosomal RNA
Source: RNAcentral
GAUGAACGCUGGCGGCGUGCCUAAUACAUGCAAGUCGAGCGAACAGAUAAGGAGCUUGCUCCUUUGACGUUAGCGGCGGACGGGUGGGUAACACGUGGGUAACCUACCUAUAAGACUGGGAUAACUUCGGGAAACCGGAGCUAAUACCGGAUAAUAUUUCGAACCGCAUGGUUCGAUAGUGAAAGAUGGUUUUGCUAUCACUUAUAGAUGGACCCGCGCCGUAUUAGCUAGUUGGUAAGGUAACGGCUUACCAAGGCGACGAUACGUAGCCGACCUGAGAGGGUGAUCGGCCACACUGGAACUGAGACACGGUCCAGACUCCUACGGGAGGCAGCAGUAGGGAAUCUUCCGCAAUGGGCGAAAGCCUGACGGAGCAACGCCGCGUGAGUGAUGAAGGUCUUCGGAUCGUAAAACUCUGUUAUUAGGGAAGAACAUACGUGUAAGUAACUGUGCACGUCUUGACGGUACCUAAUCAGAAAGCCGCGGCUAACUACGUG